AGUGAACGCUGGCGGUAGGCCUAACAUAUGCAAGUCGAACGGCAGCACAGUAAGAGCUUGCUCUUACGGGUGGCGAGUGGCGGACGGGUGAGGUAUACAUCGGAAUCUACUUUUUCGUGGGGGAUAACGUAGGGAAACUUACGCUAAUACCGCAUACGACCUACGGGUGAAAGCAGGGGAUCUUCGGACCUUGCGCGAUUGAAUGAGCCGAUGUCGGAUUAGCUAGUUGGCGGGGUAAAGGCCCACCAAGGCGACGAUCCGUAGCUGGUCUGAGAGGAUGAUCAGCCACACUGGAACUGAGACACGGUCCAGACUCCUACGGGAGGCAGCAGUGGGGAAUAUUGGACAAUGGGCGCAAGCCUGAUCCAGCCAUACCGCGUGGGUGAAGAAGGCCUUCGGGUUGUAAAGCCCUUUUGUUGGGAAAGAAAAGCAGCAGGUUAAUACCCCGCUGUUCUGACGGUACCCAAAGAAUAAGCACCGGCUAACUUCGUG
RNAcentral lists this ribosomal RNA (492 nucleotides) under uncultured bacterium. RNAcentral describes it as "partial 16S ribosomal RNA". It matches the Rfam family "Bacterial small subunit ribosomal RNA", at positions 29 to 507 of the family's 1533-position model. The record is from RNAcentral.